Molecule: ribosomal RNA, 549 nt
Filed under: uncultured Methanosarcinales archaeon
Lineage: Archaea; Methanobacteriati; Methanobacteriota; Methanomicrobia; Methanosarcinales
Description: bacterial SSU rRNA
Rfam family: Archaeal small subunit ribosomal RNA
Source: RNAcentral
GCGCGAAUCCUUUACAAUGCAGGAAACUGCGAUAAGGGGACACCGAGUGCCAGUGAAUUUCAUUGGCUGUCUUAAUGUCUAAAACGCAUUUAAUAGCAAGGGCUGGGCAAGACCGGUGCCAGCCGCCGCGGUAAUACCGGCAGCCCGAGUGGUAACCACUAUUAUUGGGUCUAAAGGGUCCGUAGCCGGGCCAAUCAGUCUUCUGGGAAAUCUGGCAGCUCAACUGUCAGGCGACUAGGGGAUACUGUUGGCCUUGGGACCGGGAGAGGUAAGAGGGUACUUUAGGGGUAGGAGUGAAAUCUUGUAAUCCUUAAGGGACCACCAGUGGCGAAGGCGUCUUACCAGAACGGGUCCGACGGUGAGGGACGAAAGCUAGGGGCGCAAACCGGAUUAGAUACCCGGGUAGUCCUAGCCGUAAACGAUGUUCGCUAUGUGUCAGGGACGGCGUGACUGUUCCUGGUGCCGAAGGAAGCUGUGAAGCGAACCACUGGGAAGUACGGCGCAAGGCUAGAAACUUAAAGGAAUUGGCGGGGAGCACGUACAACGGGG